UCCUACGGGGCGCAGCAGUGGGGAAUAUUGCACAAUGGGGGGAACCCUGAUGCAGCGACGCCGCGUGGGUGAAGGAGUACUUCGGUAUGUAAAGCCCUAUCAGCAGGAAAGAAAAUGACGGUACCUGACUAAGAAGCCCCGGCUAACUACGUGCCAGCAGCCGCGGUAAUACGUAGGGGGCAAGCGUUAUCCGGAUUUACUGGGUGUAAAGGGAGCGUAGACGGCAGGGCAAGUCUGGAGUGAAAGCCCGGGGCUCAACCCUGGGACUGCUCUGGAAACUGCAAAGCUGGAGUGCGGGAGGGGCA
Molecule: ribosomal RNA, 305 nt
Filed under: uncultured bacterium
Lineage: Bacteria
Description: bacterial SSU rRNA
Rfam family: Bacterial small subunit ribosomal RNA
Source: RNAcentral